GACGAACGCUGGCGGCGUGCCUAAUACAUGCAAGUCGAGCGGACGGAUGGGAGCUUGCUCCCAGACCGUCAGCGGCGGCCGGGUGAGUAACACGUGGGCAACCUGCCUGUAAGACUGGGAUAACUCCGGGAAACCGGGGCUAAUACCGGAUAACUCUUUCCCUCACCUGAGGGAAAGCUGAAAGAUGGCAUCUCGCUAUCACUUACAGAUGGGCCCGCGGCGCAUUAGCUAGUUGGUGAGGUAACGGCUCACCAAGGCGACGAUGCGUAGCCGACCUGAGAGGGUGAUCGGCCACACUGGGACUGAGACACGGCCCAGACUCCUACGGGAGGCAGCAGUAGGGAAUCUUCCGCAAUGGACGAAAGUCUGACGGAGCAACGCCGCGUGAGUGAUGAAGGUUUUCGGAUCGUAAAACUCUGUUGUCAGGGAAGAACAAGUACCGGAGUAACUGCCGGUACCUUGACGGUACCUGAGCAGAAAGCCACGGCUAACUACGUG
This 498-nucleotide ribosomal RNA is filed under the name uncultured bacterium. RNAcentral describes it as "partial 16S ribosomal RNA". It matches the Rfam family "Bacterial small subunit ribosomal RNA", at positions 28 to 507 of the family's 1533-position model. The record is from RNAcentral.